This 497-nucleotide ribosomal RNA is filed under the name uncultured bacterium. RNAcentral's name for it is "partial 16S ribosomal RNA". It matches the Rfam family "Bacterial small subunit ribosomal RNA", at positions 28 to 507 of the family's 1533-position model. The record is from RNAcentral.
GAUGAACGCUGGCGGCGUGCCUAAUACAUGCAAGUCGAGCGAACAGACGAGGAGCUUGCUCCUCUGACGUUAGCGGCGGACGGGUGAGUAACACGUGGAUAACCUACCUAUAAGACUGGGAUAACUUCGGGAAACCGGAGCUAAUACCGGAUAAUAUAUUGAACCGCAUGGUUCAAUAGUGAAAGACGGUUUUGCUGUCACUUAUAGAUGGAUCCGCGCCGGAUUAGCUAGUUGGUAAGGUAACGCCUUACCAAGGCGACGAUGCGUAGCCGACCUGAGAGGGUGAUCGGCCACACUGGAACUGAGACACGGUCCAGACUCCGACGGGAGGCAGCAGUAGGGAAUCUUCCGCAAUGGGCGAAAGCCUGACGGAGCAACGCCGCGUGAGUGAUGAAGGUCUUCGGAUCGUAAAACUCUGUUAUUAGGGAAGAACAAAUGUGUAAGUAACAAUGCACGUCUUGACGGUACCUAAACAGAAAGCCACGGCUAACUACGUG